UAUAGUGUAGAACCGAAGCGG
This 21-nucleotide non-coding RNA is filed under the name Rattus norvegicus (Norway rat). Lineage: Eukaryota; Metazoa; Chordata; Mammalia; Rodentia; Muridae. The record is from RNAcentral.